Molecule: long non-coding RNA, 1794 nt
Organism: Pseudoliparis swirei
Lineage: Eukaryota; Metazoa; Chordata; Actinopteri; Perciformes; Liparidae
Exons: 3
Source: RefSeq, a predicted model, not a curated record
UGUAGGGGCGCGACUGCGGAGCGGCAUCCCGGCCUCCGACGAUAAGAGAACCACCGGCUCCUGAAACACAGACGUCACGCGGCGUGAUUUAUCUGCUAUGCGGUGAAUGCGGAUUCAUAUAAUGUCGCUCACCGUUGAGGACAAAGAGCAGCAGGAGCAGGGAACCGGUUGCCAUGGUGUCUGAUUUCCGAAAAAAAAGGGGCUUCGUUAUUGAUGCAAGAAACCGGAUGGCGUUGGAAAUAUAACCGCCACGCGAGUCGGACAGAAACCUACCGAUGACCUGAAAGGAUUUGAGUGGAAGAUUGUUCCCGUCCCGACUCGGUGGGAGUGGAUCCAGCGUUUCCAGUCUUCUCGCUGGUGUCAAGUUGACAUGUUGACAGACCUGGAAACAGUAAAUGCUAACAGUCCGAUGCAACUCGCAGAAGAAGGACUCCAUCCGAGGAAAACCUCCCCACCUGCUUCACGUCGUAUAUAUAAACGGGGAAAAAGCAGAUUUUAACAUUGUUCACGAAAUAAUGUGGCUUUUUUUAAAGGAGGAAAAUACACCUGUUAAUAUAAAUAAAACUGCAGCGUUGAAAAAAAUACCGGCGUGACAAAACACAGAGUCUGUCUGGUUCCACGGGCAUGAAGAACUACAGGCUGGAGAGGCUUUGGCACGGCUAAGACGUUGCAUGAAGCGGCACCGACUUUGGUCUUUUCCAGUCACUAAGGGCCAAAGACAACCUCGUCAUGUCGACUGGGACGUUGGCCAACAUGUGGCUGGCCGGCCUCCGCUGGCCCAACUAUAGAGGAGAUGGUCUGUGGCCCUGAAGGCUGCCGCCACCUUUUCUUUGAUCAUCUUCUUAAGAGUCUUGCAACCUUUAUACUCUCUCUGCAUAAUUUAUUUUUAAUUUUUAGUGUUGCUUCAUAGCCAUUAAAUAAAGAGGUCCAUUAGCUUGUUGUGCAAAGGUGGAUAGAGAAAAAAUAGCUGUAGGCUCAAACAACUGCAAGUAUUUAGUUAUCAUUUCUUCUUCUUCUUCUUCUUCUUUCUUAUUAUCAUCAAUUUCCUGUGACAAUUAUCAUUAUUUUAAUUACUACAUGUACACUACCGUUCAAAAGUUUUGGGUCACCCAGACAAUUUCGUGUCUUCCAUGAAAACUCACACUUUUAUUUAUCAAAUGAAUUGAAAAUUGAAGAGAAAAUAUAGUCAAGACAUUGACAAGGAUAGAAAUAAUGAUUCAUAUUUGAAGUAUUCAUUUUGUUCUUCAAACUUCAAGCUCAAAGGAAGGCCAGUUGUAUAGCUUAUAUCACCAGCAUAACUGUUUUCAGCUGUGCUAACAUAAUUGCACAAGGGUUUUCUAAUCAGACAUUAGUCUUCUAAGGCGAUUAGCAAACACAAUGUACCAUUAGAACACUGGAGUGAUAGUUGAUGGAAAUGGGCCUCUAUACACCUCUGGAGAUAUUUCAUUAGAAACCAGACGUUUCCACCUAGAAUAGUCAUUUACCACAUUAACAAUGUAUAGUGUGGAUUUUUGAUUAAUGUUAUCUUUAUUGAAAAAACAGUGCUUUUCUUUGAAAAAUAAAGACAUUUCUAAGUGACCCCAAACUUUUGAACGGUAGUGUAUAUUCUUUGACCCUCCUCUUACCGGUGACCCCCAGAAAAAGUCAAAAUCCGACCUCCACUUCCGGGGCGCCAUUGUAGCUGUCAGACGACUCCACCACCCUCAGAUGCCAGAUGUUCAGCUUGUGUGUCAGUGUGUGUCAGUGUGUGUGUACUUGUGCGCUCCCCGAACCUUCUUAAAAAUAUUUAUUUGA